UCAUUCAAACCUCACCAGAGUGUGAGCAUAAUAUAACAUACUAUUGUUACCUCCAUUUUAUGAGUGAAGGAUGUGAGGCACAUGGAGUUUAAGAUACUUGUCCAAGGCCACAAAGUUGCCCUGAGGUUGCUUCAAUAUUCUUCUCAACACAGGACUCCAAGCACCACUACCAAUUGAUCAGAGUUAACAAUUCAAGAUGAAAGCAAUUAUCUUCUCUGGUUUAAAGCUCCCGUUUUCCAAGGUGAAUAUAAGAACAAAGAAUAUCCAAGCAACUAGACUAUUCAGACUUGAGAUUCAUACUCAUAUCAUUUUCUCCAUAUUGGCAGGUAAGAUCACAGGCUUUCUGGAGGCAU
Long non-coding RNA from Herpailurus yagouaroundi (jaguarundi), 353 nucleotides. RefSeq lists it as uncharacterized. The record is from RefSeq and is a predicted model, not a curated record. The transcript is spliced from 3 exons. NCBI's taxonomy places the organism in Eukaryota, Metazoa, Chordata, Mammalia, Carnivora, Felidae.